Molecule: non-coding RNA, 860 nt
Organism: Camellia sinensis
Lineage: Eukaryota; Viridiplantae; Streptophyta; Magnoliopsida; Ericales; Theaceae
Source: RefSeq, a predicted model, not a curated record
GAUUUUUUUUUUUUUUUUAAUAUAAGAGGGUCUCAUUGAUUCAGCUAAAGGAUGGAACCACUCAAUCCGUUCUUCGAUUCGCUUAUUCACGUGAUUUUUAAAAAUUGUUCGAUAUAUUAGAAUAGAUAUAUAAUUUCUAAGUGCUUCUCAUUGAUCUCACUAAGCUCAGUUUUGAUUCAAGAAUAAUCAAGAGGUCUAAACAUUGAUUCUCAAGGAUCUCUAUCAAUUAUUCAUUCAAUGGAAUCUAUUGUUGGAUAUUCUUCAGAUCAAAGGUAUAAUACGGUUCUUAUGGGGAUUUAAUAUCUGCCUAUUACAAAACUGAUUUUUUUGUUGGGUACACUCUCUCUUUGUGGUAUUCCAUCCCUUGCUUGUUUUUGGUCCAAAGAUGGUAGUUUUUUCCCCCUUCCAUGUUUGGAUCUAUUUUCACACCAUUUAGAAAGUCUUCAAAGUUGAUAAUGCAUAUGUGGCAUAUAUCAACUGGAUAAGAUAUGGUGCUCAAAUGGACAUGAGCCAUGUGAAAGUGCAAAAUAAAUAUCAGGGAUAAUACUUGAAUGACCAGGCUUGAGUAUCACCAAUCAGCAGUCGUUUCUUGCCGCUGUGCCAAUGAAGUACUAACUUCAAGUUGUUGGAAGAUCAUGUCUAUGUUAUUGGUCCAGAGUCUUGCUAGGAGUUAAAAUAUAAACUUCUUAAAUUUUUUGAAUGGUAUUGAAUCUACCACAUGGUUACACCUAUACUCAGAUAAUAACUUUCAAUGAUUCAGUGAACCGACACCAAGAUAUUGUGGGGCAUCAGCAUGGAUUCUCCUGUCAUUGUGUUGGUGUGUUGUCAUCUAUGAAAAGAGCAGUCUGAAGUCAAGUCAA